RNAcentral lists this transfer RNA (69 nucleotides) under Ictidomys tridecemlineatus (thirteen-lined ground squirrel). RNAcentral describes it as "Spermophilus tridecemlineatus (thirteen-lined ground squirrel) tRNA". It matches the Rfam family "tRNA". Rfam says of the family: Transfer RNA (tRNA) molecules are approximately 80 nucleotides in length. Their secondary structure includes four short double-helical elements and three loops (D, anti-codon, and T loops). Further hydrogen bonds mediate the characteristic L-shaped molecular structure. tRNAs have two regions of fundamental functional importance: the anti-codon, which is responsible for specific mRNA codon recognition, and the 3' end, to which the tRNAs corresponding amino acid is attached (by aminoacyl-tRNA synthetases). tRNAs cope with the degeneracy of the genetic code in two manners: having more than one tRNA (with a specific anti-codon) for a particular amino acid; and 'wobble' base-pairing, i.e. permitting non-standard base-pairing at the 3rd anti-codon position. Lineage: Eukaryota; Metazoa; Chordata; Mammalia; Rodentia; Sciuridae. The record is from Rfam by way of RNAcentral.
GGGGUUGUGGCUCAGUGGUAGAGUACUUGCCUCGCAUGCAUGAGGUGCUGGUUUUGAUCCUCAGCACUA